CACACGGAUAACAUACCGAAAGGUAUGCUAAUACGAGAUAAAAUACCUUUAUCGCAUGGUAGAAGUAUCAAAGCUUUUGCGGUACAGGAUGGACCCGCGUCUGAUUAGCUAGUUGGUAAGGUAACGGCUUACCAAGGCGACGAUCAGUAGCCGACCUGAGAGGGUGAUCGGCCACAUUGGAACUGAGACACGGUCCAAACUCCUACGGGAGGCAGCAGUGGGGAAUAUUGCACAAUGGGCGAAAGCCUGAUGCAGCAACGCCGCGUGAGCGAUGAAGGCCUUCGGGUCGUAAAGCUCUGUCCUCAAGGAAGAUAAUGACGGUACUUGAGGAGGAAGCCCCGGCUAACUACGUGCCAGCAGCCGCGGUAAUACGUAGGGGGCUAGCGUUAUCCGGAAUUACUGGGCGUAAAGGGUGCGUAGGUGGUUUCUUAAGUCAGAGGUGAAAGGCUACGGCUCAACCGUAGUAAGCCUUUGAAACUGGGGAACUUGAGUGCAGGAGAGGAGAGUGGAAUUCCUAGUGUAGCGGUGAAAUGCGUAGAUAUUAGGAGGAACACCAGUUGCGAAGGCGGCUCUCUGGACUGUAACUGACACUGAGGCACGAAAGCGUGGGGAGCAAACAGGAUUAGAUACCCUGGUAGUCCACGCCGUAAACGAUGAAAGGAGCUGUCGGAGGUUACCCCCUUCGGUGGCGCAG
Molecule: ribosomal RNA, 694 nt
Filed under: uncultured bacterium
Lineage: Bacteria
Description: bacterial SSU rRNA
Rfam family: Bacterial small subunit ribosomal RNA
Source: RNAcentral